GAGAGUAGCUUGCUACUUUGCUGACGAGCGGCGGACGGGUGAGUAAUGCUUGGGAACAUGCCUUGAGGUGGGGGACAACAGUUGGAAACGACUGCUAAUACCGCAUAAUGUUUACGGACCAAAGGGGGCUUCGGCUCUCGCCUUUAGAUUGGCCCAAGUGGGAUUAGCUAGUUGGUGAGGUAAUGGCUCACCAAGGCGACGAUCCCUAGCUGGUUUGAGAGGAUGAUCAGCCACACUGGGACUGAGACACGGCCCAGACUCCUACGGGAGGCAGCAGUGGGGAAUAUUGCACAAUGGGCGCAAGCCUGAUGCAGCCAUGCCGCGUGUGUGAAGAAGGCCUUCGGGUUGUAAAGCACUUUCAGUCAGGAGGAAAGGUUAGUAGUUAAUACCUGCUAGCUGUGACGUUACUGACAGAAGAAGCACCGGCUAACUCCGUGCCAGCAGCCGCGGUAAUACGGAGGGUGCGAGCGUUAAUCGGAAUUACUGGGCGU
This 491-nucleotide ribosomal RNA is filed under the name uncultured Pseudoalteromonadaceae bacterium. Its description in RNAcentral is "bacterial SSU rRNA". It matches the Rfam family "Bacterial small subunit ribosomal RNA", at positions 71 to 561 of the family's 1533-position model. Lineage: Bacteria; Pseudomonadati; Pseudomonadota; Gammaproteobacteria; Alteromonadales; Pseudoalteromonadaceae. The record is from RNAcentral.